CUCCCGGUAUCUCUACGUAUCGCUGCGCAUUGAGGUCACUGGUGUCGAAACGGGGACACGCAUGCGACGAAAUUACAUUUUCUCGCUGUCAUGGAACAAGAGAAUAUAGAGAGGAAAAUGGAAAUUCCUAGAUGGCGCUAGAUUCGUUCUCAGCUCGUCCAUGUCGAAUUUGUUUACGUGAAUAAAUUCAUCGAUAUUUACUGUCGGAUGACAAAACUUGCAAUUAUGGUGUGACGCCGACAAUGGUGAACAUGCCCUGUGUGGAGAGCGGACCGUGUGGAGACAAAUAUCAAACAUCGAAGAGAAAAAGAAUUAGGGGGCCAUUAACCUCAAAGAAGAAGAAGAUCAAGAACUGAAAUUCAAGUACAGAGAACAUGGCUAAGGAACAAUUGAAUCAUGGAACCAUGAUUUUAGAGAGCAGCUGGAAGAAAGAGAACGGACAGAAAAGGAUAAAGGGUCGAGUCAUGUACUUGUAAUUGAACCCUCUGGAGAAUGAAUUGCAUCUAGUGCAAAAAGACAGAAACUAGAUCAAGUUUCCAUAACUAGUUUGGAUGCAGAUGAUCCACUUGAUGGAUCAGACUUUCAUAGUCACAAGGAUGAGUCUUGGCUGAACUUUAGAUUAUUAAAAAGGUGCGAGCAGCAGAGCAAGCUAAAAAAGUAAACUUUGCAUUCUUUGGAAAUGGAAGAGAAAAGAAUUUAUAUGAAGAACAUCCCCCUCGCAAAUCCAUGGCUAAAUUAUUCUGUGCAGAGUGGCAGGACAGAUGCGAGGAGAUGAAAGCGAUGGAAUGAUAUAAACAAUUGCGUACGUUCUGAGCUGAAAAAGAAGCGCAAUGUAUUUAUCAACAAUGGGAAUAUCAUUCUAUAUUUAUGACGAAAUAUGUUAAGUAAUUUAUUAUUACAUUUAUAAUUUAUUAUUACAUUAAUAAAUUAUAUUACUACGUAAAUAAUUUUUCCCAUUAUCGAUUAAAGAAGCAUCUCUUCCAAAUCCAUAUUACUGAGUUUAAUUGACAGUUAAUCAAAUUGUGAUCAGAUCAAAUUUCUCGUAUGUAAUUCCUCAUCAUUGUCGCCAAGAAAACUGUUAGAAAGUUUAUUCCAACUGUACGUAUGAGCAAUUGACACAAAA
This 1123-nucleotide long non-coding RNA is filed under the name Ooceraea biroi (clonal raider ant). RNAcentral describes it as "uncharacterized LOC105279793, transcript variant X1". Lineage: Eukaryota; Metazoa; Arthropoda; Insecta; Hymenoptera; Formicidae. The record is from RNAcentral.